CUGCGUGCCUGCCACCAGCUGCACCAGGAGGGCAAGUUUGUGGAGCUGGGCAUCUCCAACUAUGCCGCCUGGGAGGUGGCUGAGAUCUGCACCCUCUGCAAGAGCAAUGGCUGGAUCAUGCCCACCGUGUACCAGGGCUUGUACAACGCCCUCACCCGACGGGUGGAGACGGAGCUCUUCCCCUGCCUGAGGCACUUUGGACUGAGGUUCUACGCCUACAACCCUCUGGCUGGGGGCCUGCUGACCGGCAAGUACAAGUACGAGGACAAGGACGGGAAACAGCCUGCGGGCCGCUUCUUUGGGUAUAAGUGGGCUGAGUUCUACAGGAAUC
Long non-coding RNA from Equus quagga, 331 nucleotides. RefSeq lists it as uncharacterized. Lineage: Eukaryota; Metazoa; Chordata; Mammalia; Perissodactyla; Equidae. The record is from RefSeq and is a predicted model, not a curated record. The transcript has 4 exons.